UGCAUGGUGCAGAUGGCAGCGCCAUUUUCAGAGCUAUAAACAGUAUCAUUGUCAUAGCUCUUUGAAUGGUACUGCCAUAUGUACUGGAGAAUCA
Molecule: microRNA precursor, 94 nt
Organism: Chelydra serpentina (North American snapping turtle)
Lineage: Eukaryota; Metazoa; Chordata; Testudines; Chelydridae
Source: Ensembl